CCAGACUCCUACGGGAGGCAGCAGUGGGGAAUAUUGCACAAUGGGGGAAACCCUGAUGCAGCAACGCCGCGUGAAGGAAGACGGUUUUCGGAUUGUAAACUUCUGUUCUUAGUGAAGAAGAAUGGCGGUAGCUAAGGAGCAAGCCACGGCUAACUACGUGCCAGCAGCCGCGGUAAUACGUAGGUGACAAGCGUUGUCCGGAUUUACUGGGUGUAAAGGGCGCGUAGGCGGAUGUGCAAGUCAGUCGUGAAAUACCGGGGCUCAACCCCGGGGCUGCGAUUGAAACUGCACACCUUGAGUAUCGGAGAGGAAAGCGGAAUUCCUAGUGUAGCGGUGAAAUGCGUAGAUAUUAGGAGGAACACCAGUGGCGAAGGCGGCUUUCUGGACGACAACUGACGCUGAGGCGCGAAAGUGUGGGGAGCAAACAGGAUUAGAUGCCCCCGUA
This 445-nucleotide ribosomal RNA is filed under the name uncultured bacterium. RNAcentral's name for it is "bacterial SSU rRNA". It matches the Rfam family "Bacterial small subunit ribosomal RNA", at positions 331 to 792 of the family's 1533-position model. The record is from RNAcentral.